RNAcentral lists this ribosomal RNA (467 nucleotides) under uncultured bacterium. RNAcentral's name for it is "partial 16S ribosomal RNA". It matches the Rfam family "Bacterial small subunit ribosomal RNA", at positions 28 to 507 of the family's 1533-position model. The record is from RNAcentral.
GACGAACGCUGGCGGCGUGCUUAACACAUGCAAGUCGAACGGAAAGGCCUCUUUUGGGGGGUACUCGAGUGGCGAAAGGGUGAGUAAAACGCGUGUGUCCUGCGCUCUUCCCUGGGAGAAAUCUUGGGAACUGGGGCUAAUAUCGGAUAGGGGCUCUCCCUGCUUGGGGGGGGUUGGGGAGAUUUGGGGGUUGUGGGUGUGGUCGCGGCUCAUCAGCUUGUUGGUGGGGUAGUGGCUUACCAAGGCUUUGACGGGUAGCCGGCCCGGGAGGGUGACCGGCCACAGUUGGACUGGGAAUCGGCCCCGGCUCCUACGGGAAGGAGCAGGGGGGAAAAUUUCACAAUGGGUGGGAGCCCUAUGCAGCCACGGCGGGGUCGGGAUGACGGGCUUCGGGUUGGAAACCGCUUUCGCUCAUGACGGAGCUUUGUGUGACGGUAGUGGGUAAAGAAGCACCGGCUAACUACGUG